RNAcentral lists this unclassified non-coding RNA (200 nucleotides) under Basidiobolus sp. RNAcentral describes it as "partial internal transcribed spacer 2". Lineage: Eukaryota; Fungi; Basidiobolomycota; Basidiobolomycetes; Basidiobolales; Basidiobolaceae. The record is from RNAcentral.
UUAAGUUCAGCGGGUAAUCCUACCUGAUUUGAGAUCAAGAAGUUGGAGUAUCGAGUACUCGCAAGUUCCUGCGUUCGUUGGUUGCAGUCGUCAGAUCCGAACUUUGCGUAUUGGUGCUAAGAAUGAAAACGUCUUGCGACGCCUCCAACUAGUACACCUACAAAGAGCUGAUCCUUAAUGACCACUGCUCCCGCGAUAUC